Molecule: ribosomal RNA, 674 nt
Filed under: Priestia flexa
Lineage: Bacteria; Bacillati; Bacillota; Bacilli; Caryophanales; Bacillaceae
Description: bacterial SSU rRNA
Rfam family: Bacterial small subunit ribosomal RNA
Source: RNAcentral
CGUGCAAGUCGAGCGAACUGAUUAGAAGCUUGCUUCUAUGACGUUAGCGGCGGACGGGUGAGUAACACGUGGGCAACCUGCCUGUAAGACUGGGAUAACUCCGGGAAACCGGAGCUAAUACCGGAUAACAUUUUCUCUUGCAUAAGAGAAAAUUGAAAGAUGGUUUCGGCUAUCACUUACAGAUGGGCCCGCGGUGCAUUAGCUAGUUGGUGAGGUAACGGCUCACCAAGGCAACGAUGCAGAGCCCACCUGAGAGGGUGAUCGGCCACACUGGGACUGAGACACGGCCCAUACUCCUACGGGAGGCAGCAGUAGGGAAUCUUCCGCAAUGGACGAAAGUCUGACGGAGCAACGGCUCGUGAGUGAUGAAGGCUUUCGGGUCGUAAAACUCUGUUGUUAGGGAAGAACAAGUACAAGAGUAACUGCUUGUACCUUGACGGUACCUAACCAGAAAGCCACGGCUAACUACGUGCCAGCAGCCGCGGUAAUACGUAUGUGGCAAGCGUUAUCCAGAAUUAUUGGGCGUAAAGCGCGCGCAGGCCGUUUCUUAAGUCUGAUGUGAAAGCCCACGGCUCAACCGUGGAGGGUCAUUGGAAACUGGGGAACUUGAGUGCAGAAAAGAAAAGCAGAAUUCCUCGUGUAGCGGUGAAAUGCGUAGAGAUGUGGAGGAACAC